Molecule: long non-coding RNA, 699 nt
Organism: Acromyrmex echinatior (Panamanian leafcutter ant)
Lineage: Eukaryota; Metazoa; Arthropoda; Insecta; Hymenoptera; Formicidae
Gene: Ccdc85
Source: RefSeq, a predicted model, not a curated record
CGUGUUUGUUCUUCCUGUGAAGCAGAAGAGGUGAGGCACGUGAAGGUGUGACGCACAUCCUGCAAAUCCAAUGCAAAUGCAGAUAAGAAAGGACUGCAAACUUGGUCUACAUCCAACAGUAUUCGUGAAUCUGAGGUGAAGGUGGAGCUGCUGAUAGAUGAAAAUUGGUGUAUCUUUACUGCGAACGAGGAUAAAAGCGGAGUAUACCUUUUAACAAGAACCAAAUUGAAUAUGAUACUCACCUCAUUGGAAUCUGUAGUAUAUGGAAAAGAGUGAAAGAAAGAGAAGGGAACUGUGUGAGCGUUGCGAGAGGAGAAUUGAUACGACAAUUCGUGCUUCGCUUAUCCACGGUACACUUGAAGCGAAGGACGCCCAAGCCAUAGAGAGACGGGAGACGCGUAGACCGCUGAUAGAGGGGAAUCGGUGUUACUGCGGGGAUUAGUGGUCGACUGUGAACAGCAUGCUGCUUAAGUUGUACGCGAAGGCCACGAUUGUGCGACUGUUACAACGCUGACGCGUGUAGAGCCGAGCAUUGCGGUGAUAGUAGUCUCGAAAGUGAGCAGCAUUUAUACAAGAAAACGUACUCAUUGAGUAUAUCCGGACAUUCGACGAACGUUGAGUGCAUUGUGAUUUGGUACAAUUUCUUGGAAAAUAUGGAUGUGAAUGACCCAAUCGCAAUUUCGCAGAAACGACUAGCGU